This 431-nucleotide ribosomal RNA is filed under the name uncultured bacterium. RNAcentral describes it as "bacterial SSU rRNA". It matches the Rfam family "Bacterial small subunit ribosomal RNA", at positions 355 to 796 of the family's 1533-position model. The record is from RNAcentral.
UCGAGGAUCUUUGGCAAUGGACGCAAGUCUGACCAAGCGACGCCGCGUGGAUGAUGAAGGCCUUCGGGUUGUAAAAUCCUGUCGAGGGGGACGAAGCCGCAAGGUUGACCGAUCCCUGGAGGAAGGGCGGGCUAAGUUCGUGCCAGCAGCCGCGGUAAGACGAACUGCCCAAACGUUGUUCGGAAUCACUGGGCUUAAAGGGUGCGUAGGCGGCUUACCAAGUCAGGGGUGAAAUCCGGCAGCUCAACUGUCGAAGUGCCUUUGAUACUGGUGAGCUCGAGGGAGGUAGGGGUCCGUGGAACUUCUGGUGGAGCGGUGAAAUGCGUUGAUAUCAGAAGGAACGCCGGUGGCGAAAGCGACGGACUGGAUCUCUUCUGACGCUGAGGCACGAAAGCUAGGGGAGCAAACGGGAUUAGAUACCCCCGUAGUCC